Molecule: ribosomal RNA, 354 nt
Filed under: uncultured Rhodocyclaceae bacterium
Lineage: Bacteria; Pseudomonadati; Pseudomonadota; Betaproteobacteria; Rhodocyclales; Rhodocyclaceae
Description: bacterial SSU rRNA
Rfam family: Bacterial small subunit ribosomal RNA
Source: RNAcentral
AACCCGUGACAGGUGCUGCAUGGCUGUCGUCAGCUCGUGUCGUGAGAUUGUUGGGUUAAGUCCCGCAACGAGCGCAACCCUUGUCUUUAAUUGCCAUCAUUUAGUUGGGCACUUUAAGAGACUGCCGGUGUUAAGCCGGAGGAAGUGGGAUGACGUCAAGUCCUCAUGGCCUUUAUGCCCAGGGCUACACACGUGCUACAAUGGGCGGUACAAUAGGUUGCGAAGCCGCGAGGCGGAGCCAAUCCAGCAAAACUUCCCUCAGUUCAGAUUGCAGGCUGCAACUCGCCUGCAUGAAGUUGGAGUUGCUAGUAAACGCAGGUCAGCCAUACUGCGUUGAAUACGUUCCCGGGGCUU